Molecule: long non-coding RNA, 1407 nt
Filed under: Bos indicus x Bos taurus (hybrid cattle)
Lineage: Eukaryota; Metazoa; Chordata; Mammalia; Artiodactyla; Bovidae
Description: lncRNA (ENSBIXG00000006270.1)
Source: RNAcentral
UAAGUUAUAAUCAUUAGUCUCUUUUUAAAAUAAUUUAUUUUUCAGAUUCCGCUUCUGUUUCUUUCCCCGUUUCUUCUGUUUGCCUGGUAUGUGAGUGAAAGGGACAUACCCUCGCUCCUUCAUUUGGGAGAGGGUUUUGCACUUACUGAGCGCCUAACAUACUCUGACCACAUAGGUGAGUGACCUUCUGGUAGAAACAGCAAGACCAACACCGGAAGCACUUCAAGAGGAGGAACUACAGUGUGUCACCGUGACUGUAAGUCCCUUGAGUGACACCCUCCUCUGAAGUGACUGGUAAGAGACACAGUACUCGUUAUUGAAGAGUUACGGCUGAAGAAACAGGACCCAGUGAAGCUCUAGUAAUAAUAGCGGUAAUAUGACAGGGAGGAAAUUUUAAGUGCCUAUUACUUGCCAGUGUGCCUGCAUGCUCAGUCAUUCAGUUGUGUCCAGCUCUUUGUGACCCUAUGGAUUGUAGCUCUCCAGGCUCCUCUGUCCAUGGGAUUCUCCAGAUAAGAAAACUGGAGUGGGUUGCCAUUCCCUCCUCCAGGAGAUCUUCCCAACCCAAAGAUUGAACCUGCAUCUCCUGCAUUGGCAGGCAGGUGGAUUCUUUACCACUGAGCCAUCUGCAAAGCCCAUUAGGUGCCAGACCCUAUCCUAAGCAGUUUCCACAUAUUCUUUCAUUCAGGCUUUUGAACAAUCAGUUGUUAAGUCAUCUUAUUAUACCCAUGCACUUCCUCAUGAGAAAAACCAACUCUGUUAUUAGAGUUAGGUCCUUUUCUGAUUUUAGGGGUGGAAAAAAGCCACCCAUAAAAGAACAUUUUGGGAAACCAUUGGAGGAUUUCAGAAACGACCAUAGAUGCAGAACUGAAUCUAUAGCUAUAAAAGCAAGAUCCUGUGAAAAAUAUUGACAAGAUUACAUAAAGCACUUCUAUAGAGUGCUUUUCCAGAUCCAAAAGGGAGGUGCGACUUCAGUGAGAAGUCUUGAUGAUGAUUCUUCUUGUUUUAUACAAACUUUUUCUUCCAACUGAGAUUGGCUCAAGUCCUCCAUUUUUCACUGAAUUGUCAAAGAACCUUUCCAGUAAUUUUUCUGAGACUUCUGCCUCUGUUACUUUGUUUUCAGCCUAUUUUUCUUCACAGAACCAACUGAGAAAUUUUUCCAAACCUUAUCCUGAAUGUGAUCCUGCUCUUUCAGAGAGAUGCACUGCUUACAGGGAAAAGAGUCUGGCAGCCAGAAGAAGGUCGCGGGGCUGUGCGAGACAGGCCAAUGCCUCCAGCGGCAGUGGAGUCGACACAAACCUGACAGCUCAACCUCACUCUCACUUCUGCACGUACAGGAAGAAGACCUUUGGGAAAGGCACUGUAAUCUGGCACCCGGCUCAGGUCUGGUACUUACUGAACCACAUUUAG